RNAcentral lists this ribosomal RNA (1129 nucleotides) under marine metagenome. RNAcentral describes it as "bacterial SSU rRNA". It matches the Rfam family "Archaeal small subunit ribosomal RNA", at positions 61 to 1192 of the family's 1478-position model. The record is from RNAcentral.
UUUGUAGUAAUACAAGGCAUAAGGCUCAGUAACACGUAGUCAAACUACCCUAUGGACAAGAAUAAUCUCGGGAAACUGGGCAUAAUUCUUGAUAGAUCAUAAUGCCUGGAAUGGUUUAUGGUUAAAAUGAUUCGUCGCCAUAGGAUGGGACUGCGGCCUAUCAGCUUGUUGGUGAGGUAAUGGCCCACCAAGGCGAUUACAGGUACGGGCUCUGAGAGGAGAAGCCCGGAGAUGGGUACUGAGACACGGACCCAGGCCCUAUGGGGCGCAGCAGGCGAGAAAACUUUGCAAUGUGCGAAAGCACGACAAGGUUAAUCCGAGUGAUUUCUGCUAAAGAAAUCUUUUGCCAGUCGUAAAACCGCUGGUGAAUAAGGGGUGGGCAAGUUCUGGUGUCAGCCGCCGCGGUAAAACCAGCACCUCAAGUGGUCAGGAUGAUUAUUGGGCCUAAAGCAUCCGUAGCCGGCUUUGUAAGUUUUCGGUUAAAUCCAUGUGCUCAACGCAUGGGCUGCCGAAAAUACUGCAUGGCUAGGGAGUGGGAGAGGUAGACGGUACUCAGUAGGAAGGGGUAAAAUCCUUUGAUCUAUUGAUGACCACCUGUGGCGAAGGCGGUCUACCAGAACACGUUCGACGGUGAGGGAUGAAAGCUGGGGGAGCAAACCGGAUUAGAUACCCGGGUAGUCCCAGCCGUAAACGAUGCAGACUCGAUGAUGCAUUGGCAUAAUAGCCAUUGCAGUGUCUCAGGGAAGCCGUUAAGUCUGCCGCCUGGGAAGUACGUACGCAAGUAUGAAACUUAAAGGAAUUGGCGGGGGAGCACCACAAGGGGUGAAGCCUGCGGUUCAAUUGGAGUCAACGCCAGAAAUCUUACCCGGAGAGACAGCAGAAUGAAGGUCAAGCUGAAGACUUUACCAGACAAGCUGAGAGGUGGUGCAUGGCCGUCGCCAGCUCGUGCCGUGAGAUGUCCUGUUAAGUCAGGUAACGAGCGAGAUCCCUGCCACUAGUUGCUAUCAUUAUUCUCAGGAAUAGUGGGGCGAAUUAGUGGGACUGCCGUUGUUAAAACGGAGGAAGGAAGGGGCUACGGCAGGUCAGUAUGCCCGGAAACUCUGGGGCCACACGCGGGCUGCAAUGGUAG